RNAcentral lists this long non-coding RNA (1457 nucleotides) under Jatropha curcas. Its description in RNAcentral is "long non-coding RNA (JCUR_LNC002924)". The record is from RNAcentral. Lineage: Eukaryota; Viridiplantae; Streptophyta; Magnoliopsida; Malpighiales; Euphorbiaceae.
GCUCAUCUCCCUCACCAUUUUUGCGCCACUAGCCCACCACCGACACUGCCAUCAGCACACUGCCAGCGCCACCACCUCCUCCUUUCUUCUUCUUCUUCUUCUUUCUUUCUCUUUCUUUUUCCCUGCGCCUGCGACUCCGUUGCUGGCAGAAGCAGAUCGCGCCUCCACCAGCUCGAGCGGAGCCAUAGCGCCACUGACGCUCCUCACCGCCGCUCGCCGCUCUUCACAGCCCCCCGCCAGCGAGCUGACAGGAGCAGCGUCUCAGCUCAGUUGCAGCUCUAGCGCGUCUCCGACCACCAGGAGCAUAUCUGUCGCGCCUGCAGUUGCGCCGCCAACUGCUCCGCCACCAGGUCGCGCCAACACUGCAAGUCAACCCCUCCUGCGUCGAUCUCAGGUGGUCCAAUCGCUCCCAGCACGCGUAGUUUCAAUCCGGUACGCGUAAAAUCCCGAUUCUGCAAGAAAACUGUAUUUUGGGGUAUAAAUUAAUUUUAAUAAUUUUAGUUAAUUAAUUUAAUUUUAGUAAAUUUAGUUAAUUAAAUUAAUUUUAAUAGUCUUGAUUAGUUAAUUUAAUUUAGUAAUUUGGGUUAGUUAAAUUUAUUUAAUUUAGUGUUGAUUUAUUGAUUAAUUAAAAUCAGUUGAUUGAUUAAAAUGAAAUUCUAGUAAUAAAUAAAAUUAUUGGGAAAUUAUGAUUUAUGAAAUAAAAAAAAAUUUAAUGAGCUAAUGUUGAUAUUGUUGUUAUGGAAGGAGGAUGAGAUUUUAAACUGAUUGAUUGCCCGAUGGAUGGGCUGUGUGCAUUGAUUGAUAAAGAUAUAUAUAAUAUUGCGAUAUUUUAGCAGGUUGAUAGUCCCGUUUUUAAGGGAGGUACUGCCGAAAUUUAGAUAGAACUUAGAUAAAUUUUAAUCAAUAACAUAAUAAAUAAGCUUAUUUAGAUAACUUCUAUAAUAUGAUACAUAAUAAAUAAAGUACCUUAAUUACUUUAUCAUUAUUAUUAUUAUUCAAUUAUUUAUUUAUUUUCAUUAUCAUCAUUGUUUAUUAUUAUUAUUAUUAUUAUUAUUUAUUUUAUUGUUGUUGUUUAUUGUUAAUAUUAUUUAUUUAAUUAUUUAAUUGCAUUUGAGAAUGGAUGUUUAAUUGUGCAUUGCAUUACGAUGUUUGACUGAUCAUUAUGUCUGCAUUUAAUUGCAAUGUUUGAUUAAUUGUGUUGUGAUAUUGCUGUGCUUUGUUUGUGUGGAAUUGGGAUGAAGUGGGUCACCGUGGGUUUGUGAGGACGGUCGAUAAAUAUGGAUCCUGAUGAAAUUAUGAAAUUGGACAGUCGGCCGGGUAAAUGGGAGAUCGACGCCCCCGUGUGCACCUGAUGAACUGAUGAAAUGAUGAUGAUAUGGAAAAGAUAAGAGAGAAUGGAAAAUAAAAUAUUGAGAGGACUGGUCAAGUGAGGAUUAGACCGGUCGGCCAGAUAUGNN